GCCUCCAUGGUGGAAUGGUAGACACGAAGGACUUAAAAUCCUUUGAGCAUUGUGCUUGUGUAAGUUCGACUCUCACUGGAGGUA
Molecule: transfer RNA, 84 nt
Filed under: Caudoviricetes sp.
Lineage: Duplodnaviria; Heunggongvirae; Uroviricota; Caudoviricetes
Description: tRNA-Leu
Rfam family: tRNA
About the family: Transfer RNA (tRNA) molecules are approximately 80 nucleotides in length. Their secondary structure includes four short double-helical elements and three loops (D, anti-codon, and T loops).
Source: RNAcentral